Cebus imitator (Panamanian white-faced capuchin) is the source of this 458-nucleotide long non-coding RNA. RefSeq lists it as uncharacterized. The record is from RefSeq and is a predicted model, not a curated record. NCBI's taxonomy places the organism in Eukaryota, Metazoa, Chordata, Mammalia, Primates, Cebidae. The transcript is spliced from 3 exons.
GGGCCACUGGGUGGCAAGGCCAGGAGGAGCAGCUGGGUCUGCACAGGGUGACACCGUGCAGUGGUGGUGACGCUGAGCAGGGCCUGCAGGAGGCACUGAGCUUCAAAAGGAAACUUGCUCAGUCACAAUAAGAGGAUAAGCAACUUCUGCAACCUGCUGGCUUUUGGCCAUGUCCCCCGAGAAAGACUGAGAGGAACUGCUCCCUCCCCACAGGCUCACCGCACCCUGGGGUGUCCUUCCCAAGCCCAAGCUGGACACACGUCCCCAGUUGCUGCCUGGAGGGGAGGGAGCUUGGCAAGGGGUUGGGAUGUGGCUCUGAAGAUCCACCUGACACCCGUGCCCUGGUUUAGGGGAUCCUAGCUCAGCCUGUCUUAGGCAGCCUUGGAAAAGACACAUGCAACUUGCUAUUUCUCCAGGUGCUGCAUCUGGGAUGUGGAUGCCGUAAUCAUUUGGGAGGC